This 247-nucleotide long non-coding RNA is filed under the name Mustela putorius furo (domestic ferret). RNAcentral's name for it is "lncRNA (ENSMPUG00000025174.1)". Lineage: Eukaryota; Metazoa; Chordata; Mammalia; Carnivora; Mustelidae. The record is from RNAcentral.
GGAUCAGACAGUGCUGGGCAGUUAUUAUAUGCUCAAUAAAUGCCUGUUAACUGACUCAAGAAUCAAAUUCAGCUGGCUGAAUUUAUGAUCACCUCUCAGCUAUCAAUUAGAUGUGGAAUUUAUCAGAUCGCAGGCAGAACCAGGGAAGAUAUUUUUGGAAGAGCAGGAGUUUGAUGAAAGGAUUUAUGGCUAGGCAUAAAAUCUUUCCUUCAAAACUGGAUGGUCGUUAAAUUGUUCUGUUAGCCAC